Molecule: non-coding RNA, 680 nt
Organism: Peromyscus maniculatus bairdii (prairie deer mouse)
Lineage: Eukaryota; Metazoa; Chordata; Mammalia; Rodentia; Cricetidae
Source: RefSeq, a predicted model, not a curated record
CCCGGGGGGGCGUGGCCUCAGCCGGCCGGCGGGCCUCGCGGGAACAGCGACCCCUGCAGGGCGGCCGAGGACCCACCACCGGGCGGAGUCGCUGUAGAGGGACUCGCGGGAACAGCGACCCCUGCAGGGCGGCCGAGGACCCACCACCGGGCGGAGUCGCUGUAGAGGGCUUCGCGGGAACAGCGACCCCUGCAGGGCGGCUGAAGUCCCUUGUCGGGUGGAGCUCCUGGCUGACGCCCUCGGAACAGCGACCCCUGGAGGUCACUAGGGACUAAUCCCAGGGUCAGAGCAUCCGCAGAAGUCCUUACACGGAGCCUUCUGGGCUGCCCUGCACCCCACCCUGGUUCUCCCGGGGAGCCUCAGUUUCUUUCUAUUUUGAAGAUGAGUAUUCUGAAGGCACAGCUCACACAGCUUGCUUAGCACCUGCAGGUCACCAGCACAGUGAACACAUCACGACUUUGACUCAUCACACCGGAGACACUUGCCAAGUUUUCCCAUGUAGUAUGGCUCUGUAUGUACGCAGAGGUGUUUAAAAAGUUUUUUGAAAUCUUGCUGUAACACAAAAAGGUCUUAUAAUAAAAAACCCAGAGCCAGAUAUUGGAGUGAAAGCUGAAAGGUCAGAGAAGCAGAACAGCCAGCCACUAGCUUACCUCUAUGAAAUCCUCAGCUUCAAGAGAGCA